ACCUCAGUAACGGCGAGUGAAGCGGUAACAGCUCAAAUUUGAAAGCUAGCUCUUUUAGGGUUCGCAUUGUAAUUUGUAGAAGAUGCUUCGGGUGUGGCCCCGGUCUAAGUUCCUUGGAACAGGACGUCAUAGAGGGUGAGAAUCCCGUAUGUGACUGGGUGCUUUCGCUCAUGUGAAGCUCUUUCGACGAGUCGAGUUGUUUGGGAAUGCAGCUCAAAAUGGGUGGUAAAUUUCAUCUAAAGCUAAAUAUUGGCCAGAGACCGAUAGCGCACAAGUAGAGUGAUCGAAAGAUGAAAAGCACUUUGGAAAGAGAGUUAAACAGUACGUGAAAUUGUUGAAAGGGAAGCGCUUGCAACCAGACUUGCGCGCUGAUGAUCAUCCGGGCUUCUGCCCGGUGCACUCGUCUGCGCUCAGGCCAGCAUCGGUUUUGGUGGUGGGAUAAAGGCCUUGGGAAUGUAGCUUCUUUCGGGGAGUGUUAUAGCCCUCGGUGCAAUGCCGCCUACCGGGACCGAGGACCGCGCUUCGGCUAGGAUGCUGGCGUAAUGGUUGUAAGCGACCCGUCUUGAAACACGGACCAAGGAGUCUAACAUCUAUGCGAGUGUUUGGGUGUCAAACCCAUACGCGUAAUGAAAGUGAACGGAGGUGAGAACCCUUAAGGGUGCAUCAUCGACCGAUCCUGAUGUCUUCGGAUGGAUUUGAGUAAGAGCAUAGCUGUUGGGACCCGAAAGAUGGUGAACUAUGCGUGAAUAGGGUGAAGCCAGAGGAAACUCUGGUGGAGGCUCGCAGCGGUUCUGACGUGCAAA
This 803-nucleotide ribosomal RNA is filed under the name Helotiales sp. Its description in RNAcentral is "partial large subunit ribosomal RNA". It matches the Rfam family "Eukaryotic large subunit ribosomal RNA", at positions 77 to 897 of the family's 3401-position model. Lineage: Eukaryota; Fungi; Ascomycota; Leotiomycetes; Helotiales. The record is from RNAcentral.